GACGAACGCUGGCGGCAUGCCUAAUACAUGCAAGUCGAACGAUGAUAUCACUGCUGGCAGUGAUUGAUUAGUGGCGAACGGGUGAGUAACACGUGAGGAACUUGCCCAUGAGCGGGGGACAACAUUCGGAAACGGAUGCUAAUACCCCAUAGGUGGAUUGGUCGCAUGACUAAUUCAUUAAAGGUGGCUCUGCUACCACUCAUGGAUAGCCUCGCGGCGUAUUAGCUAGUUGGUAAGGUAAUGGCUUACCAAGGCAGUGAUACGUAGCCGACUUGAGAGGGUGAUCGGCCACACUGGGACUGAGAUACGGCCCAGACUCCUACGGGAGGCAGCAGUGGGGAAUAUUGCACAAUGGGCGCAAGCCUGAUGCAGCGACGUCGCGUGGGGGAUGAAGGCCUUCGGGUUGUAAACUCCUUUCGCUAGGGACGAAGCUUUUUGUGACGGUACCUAGAUAAGAAGCACCGGCUAACUACGUGCCAGCAGCCGCGGUAAUACGUAGGGUGCGAACGUUGUCCGGAAUUACUGGGCGUAAAGGGCUCGUAGGUGGUUUGUCGCGUCGUCUGUGAAAUUCUGGGGCUUAACUCCGGGCGUGCAGGCGAUACGGGCAUAACUUGAGUGCUGUAGGGGUAACUGGAAUUCCUGGUGUAGCGGUGAAAUGCGCAGAUAUCAGGAGGAACACCGAUGGCGAAGGCAGGUUACUGGGCAGUUACUGACGCUGAGGAGCGAAAGCAUGGGUAGCGAACAGGAUUAGAUACCCUGGUAGUCCAUGCCGUAAACGGUGGGCGCUAGGUGUGAGGGUCUUUCUACGACUUUCGUGCCGUAGCUAACGCAUUAAGCGCCCCGCCUGGGGAGUACGGCCGCAAGGCUAAAACUCAAAGGAAUUGACGGGGGCCCGCACAAGCGGCGGAGCAUGUGGAUUAAUUCGAUGCAACGCGAAGAACCUUACCUGGGCUUGACAUACACCAGAUUGGGCUAGAGAUAGUUCGUCCCUUUGUGGUUGGUGUACAGGUGGCGCAUGGUUGUCGUCAGCUCGUGUCGUGAGAUGUUGGGUUAAGUCCCGCAACGAGCGCAACCCUUGUCUUAUGUUGCCAGCAUUUGGUUGGGGACUCAUGAGAGACUGCCGGGGUUAACUCGGAGGAAGGUGGGGAUGACGUCAAAUCAUCAUGCCCCUUAUGUCCAGGGCUUCACACAUGCUACAAUGGUCGGUACAACGCGCUGCGACACUGUGAGGUGGAGCGAAUCGCUGAAAGCCGGCCUUAGUUCGGAUUGGGGUCUGCAACUCGACCCCAUGAAGUCGGAGUCGCUAGUAAUCGCAGAUCAGCAAUGCUGCGGUGAAUACGUUCCCGGGCCU
This 1351-nucleotide ribosomal RNA is filed under the name uncultured bacterium. RNAcentral's name for it is "partial 16S ribosomal RNA". It matches the Rfam family "Bacterial small subunit ribosomal RNA", at positions 28 to 1381 of the family's 1533-position model. The record is from RNAcentral.